CCUACGGGUGGCAGCAGUGAGGAAUAUUGGUCAAUGGACGGAAGUCUGAACCAGCCAUGCCGCGUGAAGGAAGACGGCCCUAUGAGUUGUAAACUGCUUUUGUAAAAGGGUAAACCGGAAUACGUGUAGGCAGCUGAAAGUACUGUACGAAUAAGGAUCGGCUAACUCCGUGCCAGCAGCCGCGGUAAUACGGAGGAACCAAGCGUUAUCCGGAUUUAUUGGGUUUAAAGGGGGGGUAGGGGGAUUGUGAAGUUAGAGGUGAAAUGUGCGAGCUUAACUCGGGAACUGCCUCUAAGACUGUUGCUCUAGGGACUAGAUGCGGUAGGCGGAAUGUAUGGUGUGGCGGUGAAAUGCUAGAGAUCAUACAGAACACCGAUUGCGAAGGCAGCUUACCAAUCUAUCUCUGACGUUGAGGCUCGAAAGCGUGGGGAGCAAACAGGAUUAGAUACCCCAGUAGUC
RNAcentral lists this ribosomal RNA (459 nucleotides) under uncultured bacterium. RNAcentral's name for it is "partial 16S ribosomal RNA". It matches the Rfam family "Bacterial small subunit ribosomal RNA", at positions 338 to 795 of the family's 1533-position model. The record is from RNAcentral.